RNAcentral lists this long non-coding RNA (4285 nucleotides) under Homo sapiens (human). RNAcentral describes it as "HSALNT0239625". The record is from RNAcentral. Lineage: Eukaryota; Metazoa; Chordata; Mammalia; Primates; Hominidae.
AAAGAAUUAGCCUUUCCGCUGCCUACCUCUUUUUUCCUGAAACUCCACUGGCAGUCAGCUCCUGCUAGCAGAGCUCCAGGCCCUCUCCUACAGGAAGACUUCCUGGAUUAAUCUGCUAAUCUUCAGCUCAUCCACCUGUUUAAUAGGCAAAACCUACAGAACUAGUCCACACUGAGUGGACCUCUGGGGCUCCCAGCUGCCGAUUGACCUGAACCCCAGAGUGAACUCGUGUUGCUUUGUGGCUUCAGGAAACCUUGGAACAUCUCUGUGCUGUUUUUUCAUUUGUGCUCAAUCAUUCCUGAGGCCUCCUCCUCCUGCUGCAAUUUGACAAGACUUGACCAAAUCAUUAACUCCCAGUUAAUGGGAUAAAAUGAGUUUGAAUCUGGGAUUCUGGUCAUUAACCCCAUGUCACCAUCUGCUCCAGCAGUUUGAUGGCAGGGCUAGGUGAAUUCUAAUCACCCAACACUUGUUAAACUGCUGAUUCCUGCUUCCCCACCUCUGCUGACUCAGCAUCUCUGGGGUGGGGCCUGCAAAGGCUCUCUUCCUUGACGGGGUUAUUGAGGGCAGCUCUAGGAACCCACCCAGGACCAGACCUGAUGAGGAGUUCCUCCUAUGCAUCAGGUAUGCUGGGUCGGUUUGCGGAGUUUCAUAACUUGCAUUUUCCUCUGCCUGGAGAGUUCCUUGCAGCUGGCUUCUUCUGUGUCACGGCCCCACAGAGAUCUUGGCUGGUCUCCCUAUCUCCACCCUCCACCAUGCUCACUAUUCCAUUACAAGUUUCCUUUUCUACCCAGUACUAAUCAUUUUCUGCAAUUCAUCUCAUUUCCUUGUGAACUAUCUGUUGGUCCUACCAGAAUGUAAGUCUCCACCUGGGGGCAGAGACCCUGCCUGGCUUGUUAGAAGCCAUAUCCCCAGGAUUGAAGCAUAUGAGAGAUGCUCAGAAAUACAAGAAUUCAUGAACAAAUGAACACGAGUGAAUUCAUUCAGCUCUGAUGCUGAGGCUCCCUCUCUGAGAUGAAAGAAUGGGGAACCUUCUUCUAAUCCUGGGGAACCUGGGGCCUGCCCUGAGCCUGAUUCCUGAGGCAGGUGAGAGGCACCUCCUACCUCUCAACCCUGUCUAUUGUUACCCCCAGCACCCAGGGAAGACCUCACUGGAGCCUGAGUCAGUGCAGGGGGCCAAGAGGAAUCUGUGCACCCAGAGAAUCUUGGCUGAGUUACCUGAUUUUAAAACUCCUGACUUAAGGUGCUAUUGACCAAGUACUCCUUAGCUCCAUCGCCUACAAAACCACAGGUGCAGGUGAAAGUUGAGUUUAGGUAUGAACUGAAUACUGUUUAGCUACCCUAUUUAAAAAAUUGUUUUCAUUUGUUUGUUUGUUGAGACAGGGUCUCACACUGUCACUCAGGCUGGAGUGCAGUGACAUGGUCAUAGCUCACUGUGGUCUUGAACUUCUGGACUCAAGCUCUCCUCCUGCCUCAGCCUCCUGAGUAGCUGAGACUACAAGGUGCCACCACAUCCAGCUAAUUUUUAAAACCUUUUUUGUAGAAAUGGGGGCUCUCCCUAUGUUGCCCAGGUUUGUCUCGAGCUCCUGGCCUCAAGGGAUCCUCCUGCCUCAGCCUCCCAAAGCAGUGGCCACAGGCAUGGGCACUGCACCCGGCCAAAAGAAAUAUUCUGUCUUCGCUUCCAACUUGAAAUGGACUGCUUACCUUGGCACUUCCCAUGCCGGCUUCUCUCCACUUUCCAAUCUAACAGGAUAAUGAUGUCAUACAGAAAUAACUUACAGUAGGUAUUUAGUAAAUGCUGGUGUGCAAUAUGGAAUAAAAUUCACAAGAGGAAUUCCAAACUGUUCCUUAUCCUCAAAUCAUUUUUUAAUAGCCAAAAAAUUAGUCUGAAAUUUGAGUCCUCGCCCUUCAGUGUAAAAUCAGUAGCUUUUAAUUUUCCCUUAUUUUGUUUGCUUUAAAGAGGCACACCUACCUAUAGUCCCUUAGUCAUGUAAGGGCUGACCCCUCCCACUGGUCUAAAGCGGGGCUUCUGGACCAUGCCUGACCACAGCCAUCUGAUCCUGAGGAGCCUUUAACCCAGUACUUCUGUUUAAAGAAACAAAAGUCCUCUCCUAAAUAAACAAAGCAGGCCUGACUCAAAUCUCUCCGAUGGGUAAAGGAAAGUACCCAGGAGCAGGAGGCUUGGAUUUCUGAUUUUAUUUCGUGUCAUUUCCCUUCCUCAAAGGUGUGAAACUCCACCCCACGCCACUCCUUUCCUAUUCAUCCUCUACUGGAUGUUUUUUCCUCUAAAUAAUUUUUAUUUUCUAUUUUUGUCUGUAUGUGUUCUCCUCUUUUAGUCUACUUCUGUCCCUCUUUCCCCUGCGAAGGAAAAAUAGAAGAAAGAAGCCAUCUCUGUUUGCUUUCUCCCUGUCACUCAAUCUCUGGAGCCAACUGCUUCACAAAUAAAGAGAAGUGCACAGAGAGUCCCUGAAGCCCACCAUCAACAGACAGGCUUUCAACAAAACUGUAUCAGCACCGCCUUGGCCAUAGCUACACUCUACAGAAAAUGGGAGAGAGGAACAGCGCUAGAGAAGUUUGUCCUUGCCUGGUUCCCGGGUGGAACUUCCUCUCCCCCUUGUGUUCUAUGCGUGUGGUUACAGCUGCCUCUGAUCUUUGGUGACCAGCGGUUGGCAGUGGUGGUAUUUCAGCAUACCUUGAUCAUCGUGCUUAUUACACAGCCUCCUUUACCAUCAACCCUACCUACCUUCUUCUAGCCAUGCCCCCCACCUCCUCCCGUCUCUAUCCAUCUCUUCGCUCUUUUAAAAAAUACUUAAGUGUGUACAGAUCACAGUGACUUCAUUUGUGUGCCCAUUCACAUUUGAUGACUUCCAUAACCCCCAUACAAGUAGUUGUGUAUUCGUUUUAAUUCACUUUAUUUAUUUCCUAGCUCUUUCAUAAAAUAAAAUGAAAUAUAAGUAAUGAAAUGGGAAUAAAAAAGAGAAAAAUAGAAUUGAGGGGGAAAAGGAGAAAUGCAUCUAUGUUUGUGAUCACGUUCAUCUUUCUCCAUGCAUCAAUAUGCAUACUAUUAUGAAUUCAUUGCACGUAUUUUAACAUGUAGGCACUACAUGGGGAUGUGGUGUCUACAUACCACCUCUAUAGUGGUAGGCACUGCAAAGGGACAUACAAAAGGUAAAAAGCAUAGUCUCUACUCUCAUAGGACUUUUCAUCUCAUGGAUGUGGCACUCAUAAUGUCUUUUAUCUGUGUCCCACUUGAUGUGAAACUCUUUAGUAGGCAUGAUCCUAUUUGAUUUCCAUAAGCAGAAGAGGGGUCACUGUUUCCAUGUUAUGAGAGAGGAAACUGAGGUUCAGAGAGUGAAAGGACCCUGAUGAGAUAAUGGAACUGGGGCUCAAAUCCUGGUUUCCCGACUCAACAUUUCACAUUCUUUCUACUCUGUCAUUAUUCAUUAGUCAAGUUUCUCCACAGACAACUCACUGAGCCACAACAUAUGAAGCAGCAUGGUAAUGCCACUAGACUGGUCAUGAUCAGAAGAUGUGGCCCCAGGGAAGAGAAAGCAAGAGAGCUGGAGAUAGCAGAGAAAGCACCAAGGAAGGGCUUGGCCGUGCAGCUCUAGCAGGGAGGUCCUUCCUUUCAGCCCCCAAGUGUCCCUCUGUGUCUCAUCUAAAAAGCAAAAAAAGAGGAGAACUAGAGCUUAUGGUUGAAGGCGUGAGAAUGAGGUGUCUUUUCCCUCUAUCUCUGUAAUAUACAAGUAUAAAUACUAUAUAUACAUAUGUAUAUGUGUUCCUUUUUUCUGUGUCUGAUUAUGCAUGCAAUUUAGCAAGGAUUUAUUGCCUAAUUUUGGUCUGGGCACUUUGCUAACGCAAUGGGGGAGGAUACCAAGAAAUUAGGGACUCAGCCUCAUUGUCCCCAGAGACUCCUGGGGGUGGGCAAGGCACGGUGUCUGUGCAUACUGCUGGGGGAGCUCUGGAUUAGGGGACAUCAGGAGACAUGACAUUGAAAUGUCCUACUCAGUUCUCUGUACAGAUUGGAUUUCCGUGGAAGAAAGAAAAUCAACAUGUAUUGGGAGUCAACAUCUCAUUCAGUCCUGUGAGUUUAUUCUGCCUAUUUUUCAGACAAGGAGACUAAGGCUUCAAGACGGUAAGUAAAUUGCCCACAGUGUCACUGCUGGUGUGGGAAUGAGCUUCAGGGUCAUUGAGUCAUGCUGCUGCCCAGGUACCCUGUAAGGCCGUCAAGUGUUGUGGGUAAGGGUUUUGGUGCUGACGUUCAGGUGAUUGUGAGUUUAAAGCCUGG